GACAAGAAAAGCUGUAUGAAUAUCUUAGGUGCCCGUACCGCAAACCGACACAGGUAGAUAGGAAGAAGAUUCUAAGGCCAACGGGAGAAGGGUUGUUAAGGAACUCGGCAAGUUGACCCCGUAACUUAGGGAUAAGGGGUGCUCAAGUGAUUGAGCCGCAGAGAAUAGGCCCAGGCGACUGUUUAGCAAAAACACAGGUCUCUGCUAAAUCGAAAGAUGACGUAUAGGGGCUGACACCUGCCCGGUGCCGGAAGGUUAAGAGGAGAUGUGUGAGCAUUGAAUUGAAGCCCCGGUAAACGGCGGCCGUAACAAUAACGGUCCUAAGGUAGCGAAAUUCCUUGUCAGGUAAGUUCUGACCCGCACGAAAGGUGUAACGAUCUGGGCACUGUCUCAACAACCCGCCCGGCGAAAUUGUAGUACCGGUGAAGAUGCCGGUUACCCGCGACUAGACGGAAAGACCCCAUGGAGCUUUACUGUAGCCUAAUAUUGGAUUUCGGUAUUUCACGUACAGGAUAGGUGGGAGACUGGGAAGCACAGGCGUCAGCUUGUGUGGAGUCGACCUUGGGAUACCACUCUUGGAGUGCUGGAAUUCUAACCUGCGGCUUUGAAGCAAGUCGGGGGACAUUGUUAGGUGGGCAGUUUGACUGGGGCGGUCGCCUCCUAAAGAGUAACGGAGGCGCUCAAAGGUUCGCUCUGCAUGGAUGGAAACCAUGCGUCAGAGUGUAAACGCAAAAGCGAGCCUAACUGCGAGAAUGACGGUUCGAGCAGUAACGAAAGUUGGAGUUAGUGAUCCGGCGGUAUGUGAAUGGAAAUGCCGUCGCUCAACGGAUAAAAGCUACCCUGGAUAACAGGCUGAUCUCCCCCAAGAGUCCACAUCGACGGGGAGGUUUGGCACCUCGAUGUCGGCUCAUCGCAUCCUGGGGCUGAAUUCGGUCCCAAGGGUUUGGCUGUUCGCCAAUUAAAGCGGUACGCGAGCUGGGUUCAGAACGUCGUGAGACAGUUCGGUCCCUAUCUGUCGUGGGCGUAGGAUAUUUGCAAGGAGCUGUCCCUAGUACGAGAGGACAGGGAUGGACGCACCUCUGGUGCACCAGUUGUCACGCCAGUGGCACAGCUGGGCAGCUAUGUGCGGAACGGAUAAACGCUGAAGGCAUCUAAGCGUGAAGCCGCCCUUAAGAUAAGAUAUCCCUUCUGUUUACAGAGUAAGACCCCUUGAAGACUACAAGGUUGAUAGGCUCAAAGUGUAAGCACGGUGACGUGUUUAGCUAGCGAGUACUAAUCGGUCGAGGGCUUAACC
Molecule: ribosomal RNA, 1294 nt
Filed under: metagenome
Description: bacterial LSU rRNA
Rfam family: Bacterial large subunit ribosomal RNA
Source: RNAcentral